GCCAGGCAUGGUGGCGCAUGCCUGUAGUCCCAGCUACUUCGGAGGCUGAGGCAGGAGAAUUGCUUGAACCCGGGAGGCAGAGGUUGCAGUGAGCUGAGAUUGCACCACUGCACUCCAGCCUGGGUGAAAGAGUGAGACUCCGCCUCAC
This 148-nucleotide non-coding RNA is filed under the name Homo sapiens (human). Lineage: Eukaryota; Metazoa; Chordata; Mammalia; Primates; Hominidae. The record is from Rfam by way of RNAcentral.